GAAAAGGAUAAGAAGAGUAGGUAGUAAGAGAGAGAGAGUUAUCAGAAAGAAAGAAAAGAAGAAAGGGAAGAGUAGAGAAGAGGAAAAGAGAAGAAAGAAGAAGAGAGAAAGAAGGAAGAAAGGCUUGGAGGAGAAAAGGAAAAGCUCAUCAUCACCAUUUUCUACUCAUCAUCCUCACCAACUUCAUCUUAUUCUUCUACUAGGUGAGUUUUUAGAUAGAUUUAGCCUUUGGUGGAAAAUAACCUAUGUUUGGGGGUUAGGAUUUGUGUGAAUUUGUUAUGAACUUGUUGUGUUCAUAUUCCUCAUCCAUGUUAUGUGUUGAUAUCAUGUUGUUGUUGUUUAAAUUGUGAUACUUGGGUGUUUAAUUUUGAUGUGUUUAAUUUUGAUGUGUUUUAUUGUUGAAGAUAUGGAGGUUAAUCACAUGAAAUCAUAACAAUAUAAGUUAUUCAUGAAAUAUUCCCAUGAAUCAUGAGUUAACCAUGUUUUCUAUGAUUAUGGUGUUGUUGAAAUUGAACAUGGUUGUUGAGGUUGUUAAGAACAUGUGUUUAUGAGGUUGAGGAUUCCUUGAGUGUUGGUUGCUGAUGGUUUAAUUCUAUCUACUUUUUCAAAAGACAUUCUAAAGGCGGAAUUGAAUGCAGUACACUCAGAAUUUUAAGAAAGACAAAAUGAUUCGGCAUAUAUUCUUAAUCAAUUUAGAUGCCACUCAUCAAAACAAGGCCACCAAUAUAACAAAGUGUUUUUAAUAGGAAACAAAGAGAGUUUGGGGGUGGAGGGGGAAGUCGGUUAUGAUGAUCUUUACGACCAAGUCUUUGAGUUCUACCGUAGUAAAUACUGCGGAAAGGUGAUGAAGUUAGUAGUUAUAGGAGGAGGUAGUUUUAAAUACUAAAUCUAUUAAAGUUUCAUUCUUACCAAUUCAUCACGUUGUAUAUUUAAAAUUAUCAUAUUUAGUACAUAAUGAACAUAUAUAUUGUCCUUACUAAGCUUCUUGUAUA
This is a long non-coding RNA of Lathyrus oleraceus (garden pea), 992 nucleotides long. RefSeq lists it as uncharacterized. The record is from RefSeq and is a predicted model, not a curated record. The transcript is spliced from 4 exons. Lineage: Eukaryota; Viridiplantae; Streptophyta; Magnoliopsida; Fabales; Fabaceae.